CGCGAGCGCACCGAGGUAGGCGAGGCCCGUCACCGGCGGACCGCCACCGGCCGGUCCGCCGGCCGGAGCCGUUCGGGCCGGCGGCUCGCGGC
Molecule: transfer RNA, 92 nt
Filed under: Cellulosimicrobium cellulans
Lineage: Bacteria; Bacillati; Actinomycetota; Actinomycetes; Micrococcales; Promicromonosporaceae
Also listed under: 1 other name
Description: tRNA-Gly
Source: RNAcentral